This 468-nucleotide ribosomal RNA is filed under the name uncultured bacterium. Its description in RNAcentral is "partial 16S ribosomal RNA". It matches the Rfam family "Bacterial small subunit ribosomal RNA", at positions 28 to 507 of the family's 1533-position model. The record is from RNAcentral.
GACGAACGCUGGCGGCGUGCUUAAUACAUGCAAGUCGAACGGAAAGGCCCUGCUCUUGUGGGUUGCUCGAUUGGCGAACGGGUGAGUAACACGUGAGUAACAUGUCCUUGUCUUUGGGAUAACUUCAGGAAACUGGGGCUAAUAUCGGAUAGGAGCUCCUGCUGCAUGGGGGGGGUAGGAAAGAUUCGGCGGUUGGGGAUGGACUCGCGGCUUAUCCGCUUGUUGGUGGGGUAGUGGCUGACCAAGGCUUCGACGGGUAGCCGGCCUGAGAGGGUGACCGGCCACAUUGGGACUACGAUACGGCCCAGAAGCGUACGGGAGGCAGUAGUGGGGAAUAUUGCGGAAUGAGCGGAAGCCUGAUGCAGCAACGCCGCGUGCGUGAUGACGGGUUUUGGGUUGUGAACAGAUUUGGAAUUUGACGAAGAGUGCGUGACGGUAACGGGUAAGAAAGCACCGGCUAACUACGUG